RNAcentral lists this ribosomal RNA (442 nucleotides) under uncultured Erysipelothrix sp. RNAcentral describes it as "bacterial SSU rRNA". It matches the Rfam family "Bacterial small subunit ribosomal RNA", at positions 934 to 1382 of the family's 1533-position model. Lineage: Bacteria; Bacillati; Bacillota; Erysipelotrichia; Erysipelotrichales; Erysipelotrichaceae. The record is from RNAcentral.
GGAUUAUGUUGUUUAAUUCGACGCAACGCGAAGAACCUUACCAGGCCUUGACAUACUCGGCAAAGCUCUAGAGAUAGAGUGGAGGUUAUCCGGGAUACAGGUGGUGCAUGGUUGUCGUCAGCUCGUGUCGUGAGAUGUUGGGUUAAGUCCCGCAACGAGCGCAACCCUUGUCUUUAGUUACCAUCAUUCAGUUGGGGACUCUAGAGAGACUGCCGGUGAUAAACCGGAGGAAGUGGGGAUGACGUCAAAUCAUCAUGCCCCUUAUGGCCUGGGCUACAAACGUAAUACAAUGGCGUAUACAAAGGGAUGCGAAAGGGCGACCUGGAGCAAAACUCACAAAGUACGUCUCAGUUCAGAUUGGAGUCUGCAACUCGACUCCAUGAAGGCGGAAUCGCUAGUAAUCGCGGAUCAGCAUGCCGCGGUGAAUACGUUCUCGGGGUUU